CAGGGAUGAACAGAAGGACAGAGGGAUGGCUAGGAAAAGAGAUGACGAGAGGCCAGGUCCAGAGGGCUCGUCUGAGCUGCGAUGUGCGCAGGAAGGAGUGCCAGAGAAAGGCUCCCAGGACGCUGCCUGACUCCUUGAUGCUGUAUCUCCUGCCGCUGCUGUCACCGCUGGGAAGACUGAUUUCCAUGAGGGCUCCCUCUCUUGUCCUAGACCCGUCAUGACCUAUUUCUGGAGCCUUCUAAAAGUGCCAGGCCAUCCAGAGACCCAGGGUCAAAGAAUAAAAGCAUCUCUCUCUUA
Molecule: long non-coding RNA, 297 nt
Organism: Neogale vison (American mink)
Lineage: Eukaryota; Metazoa; Chordata; Mammalia; Carnivora; Mustelidae
Exons: 2
Source: RefSeq, a predicted model, not a curated record